RNAcentral lists this unclassified non-coding RNA (324 nucleotides) under Hevea brasiliensis (rubber tree). The record is from RNAcentral. Lineage: Eukaryota; Viridiplantae; Streptophyta; Magnoliopsida; Malpighiales; Euphorbiaceae.
AUCGUUUUUCCCUUACCUGUACUUUUCAUUACUUAAUGAGGAUGGGGGAUCAAGCCAAAUGCGAGGAACAUCAAUAUAUCAUAGCACAAGUAAAAUAGAUGAUGCCCUAGUAAAGAACAAACCAGCACAUGAACAAUCCUCCAUUGCUAGUAGAAUCAAGACAAAGCAUAAGUUAGAAAAGCAAGUCAAGGCAUGCAAUUUUCUUUGCUUCUUUCACCUAAUUCAUGUUCCUUCCUUUCUAGUUGGCAGCCUGCUCACCGUCCAAGAAAAGUUCAAUACAUGGGAUAAAAUCAAAUCUAAACAUUUCUUAUCCCAGUCAUUAAG